GAAAAUGAAUCAAAACUUUCAACAACGGAUCUCUUGGUUCUGGCAUCGAUGAAGAACGCAGCGAAAUGCGAUAAGUAAUGUGAAUUGCAGAAUUCAGUGAAUCAUCGAAUCUUUGAACGCACAUUGCGCCCGCCAGUAUUCUGGCGGGCAUGCCUGUCCG
RNAcentral lists this ribosomal RNA (160 nucleotides) under Trichoderma harzianum. RNAcentral describes it as "5.8S ribosomal RNA". It matches the Rfam family "5.8S ribosomal RNA". Rfam says of the family: 5.8S ribosomal RNA (5.8S rRNA) is a component of the large subunit of the eukaryotic ribosome. It is transcribed by RNA polymerase I as part of the 45S precursor that also contains 18S and 28S rRNA. Functionally, it is thought that 5.8S rRNA may be involved in ribosome translocation. The record is from RNAcentral. Lineage: Eukaryota; Fungi; Ascomycota; Sordariomycetes; Hypocreales; Hypocreaceae.